AGGACAAACGCUGGCGGCGUACCUAAGACAUGCAAGUCGAACGGGGGGUGGACCCUUCGGGGACCAUCUCGAGUGGCGAACGGGUGAGUAACACGUAGGAACCUGACGUUUGGUGGGGGAUAACGCUGGGAAACCGGCGCUAAUACCGCAUACGGUCCCUGGAAACGGGGAGCAAAGCAGCAAUGCGCCAGAUGAGGGGCCUGUGGCCGAUUAGCUAGUUGGUGAGGUAAAGGCCCACCAAGGCGACGAUCGGUAGCUGGUCUGAGAGGAUGGUCAGCCACACUGGGACUGAGACACGGCCCAGACUCCUACGGGAGGCAGCAGUUAGGAAAUUUUCGCAAUGGGGGAAACCCUGACGGAGUAACGCCGCGUGGAGGAUGACGGCUUUCGGGUUGUAAACUCCUUUUCUGUGGGAAGAGUAGAAGACGGUACCGCAGGAAGAAGCCUCGGCUAACUACGCGCCAGCAGCCGC
This 472-nucleotide ribosomal RNA is filed under the name uncultured bacterium. RNAcentral's name for it is "SSU rRNA". It matches the Rfam family "Bacterial small subunit ribosomal RNA", at positions 26 to 518 of the family's 1533-position model. The record is from RNAcentral.